AGGGCACCACCAGGAGUGGAGCCUGCGGCUUAAUUUGACUCAACACGGGAAAACUCACCCGGCCCGGACACUGGGAGGAUUGACAGAUUGAGAGCUCUUUCUUGAUUCAGUGGGUGGUGGUGCAUGGCCGUUCUUAGUUGGUGGAGUGAUUUGUCUGGUUAAUUCCGAUAACGAACGAGACUCUAGCCUACUAAAUAGAUCGUCGGCUUACAAACGCCGGCGAGACUUCUUAGAGGGACAGGCGGUGAUUCAACCGCACGAAACAGAGCAAUAACAGGUCUGUGAUGCCCUUAGAUGUCCGGGGCCGCACGCGCGCUACACUGAAGUGAUCAGCGUGCUUUUUCAACCUACUCUGUCAAGAGUGGGGAACCCAAUGAACCUUCUUCGUGAUUGGGAUAGGGGAUUGUAAUUAUUCCCCUUGAACGAGGAAUUCCCAGUAAGCGCGAGUCAUAAGCUCGCGUUGAUUACGUCCCUGCCCUUUGCACACACCGCCCGUCGCUACUACCGAUUGAAUGUUUU
RNAcentral lists this ribosomal RNA (519 nucleotides) under uncultured eukaryote. RNAcentral describes it as "SSU rRNA". It matches the Rfam family "Eukaryotic small subunit ribosomal RNA", at positions 1161 to 1699 of the family's 1831-position model. The record is from RNAcentral.